This is a long non-coding RNA of Felis catus (domestic cat), 2389 nucleotides long. RefSeq lists it as uncharacterized. The transcript is spliced from 2 exons. The record is from RefSeq and is a predicted model, not a curated record. NCBI's taxonomy places the organism in Eukaryota, Metazoa, Chordata, Mammalia, Carnivora, Felidae.
ACUACGAGUUGGACGCUUAACCGACUAAGUCCCCCAGGCACCCCCUUAUUGCUGUUUCUUGAAAAAGAACAAUUAAAUAAAAUAAGCAUGCUCUUAUCUCAGGUCCUUUGCACAUACUAUUCCUUCUGCAUAAUGGCUCUUUACCCAGAUGUCCCCCCAGAUAUCCACAUAUCUUCUUCCCUCACUUCCUUUAGGCCCCUUAUCAGAGGUCUUCGCUGACCCCCUGUCUAAAAUAACAUGUCUCCAUUCCCAUCACCUCUAUGACCCUCACUCCACUUAAUUUUUUUACGGCACUCGUGACCAUCUGACAUAUAUUUAUGUGUGUAUUUGUCACUUAUCUAUGACCCUCAUUCUGUUUUAUUUUCCUUCAUAGCACUUGUGACCAUCCGAAAUAUGUUAAUGUGUCUCUUUAUCACUUAUCUUCCCACGCUCAAGUGUAAGCUCCAUGUGAGCCAGAAUUUUUUUGUUCACUGUUGUAUCCCCAUGUUUAGAGAGUGUGUUAGCACUAAAACAUAUGAGAAACAUAACCAAUAUUUUUAAUAAAUAAAACUGUUUAUAAGUUCCCCCAAAUGAGUCUUACACAGCCACCCUGGUGUGCAACUACUGGUGUAGCUAAUAUGAAGUAAACUCUCAAAUAUUAAAAAUGUGGAUUUGGCUCAGCAUGUCUCUCAAUUGGCACUGCUUUCAUUGACAUCCAGGGAACAGACACCACACAAGACUAUCCUUGCAAAGCUAUGCCUGGGGUAGGGCACCUGCUCUGGGCACAUAAGGAAGCAGAAGUUCUGCUCAUUUUGUUCCCUGUCUGUUCUCUGAGGCACCCACUGUUGUCAUCUGGGUGGAAACAAGACUGCAUCACUGAAGCCCUCGGGAAGCAGGAUAUGCCAGUCAUCACAGGAGCCACAGAGUCUGAAGAAUUCAGAACUUGAGACCAUGAUGCAGAAACAAGCCAUGUGGAGAGGCUAUAUGGAGGAGAAUUCAAGUCCUUUCUUUGGCAGCUCCGGCCGGCACGAACCACCAGUCAUAUGAAUGAGCCAUCUUGGACGUUUCAGCCCAGUCUUACCUCUGCAGCCCCAAUAACAUCACACAGAACAAAACAACCUCUCAGCUAAGAUAAUUGACCAACAAAAUUGUGAAAAAUAAUACAAUAGUAGUAGUCUUAAGCCAUUAAGUUGGGGGUGAUUUGUUGCACAGGGACAGAUGACAAACAGAAUUUGGCACCUAGUCACAUGAUGGUCUAUAAGAAAAACCUAAAACAUGAAGGACUGGCUUUGAGAGCAAAUAGUGGGGGGAGGCCCGAAGAUUCUCAAAAGGCUAUUGGUGAAGACUGACAGAGCAGUGAGGACAUCACUAUUGGAUGCUGGAGUAAAGGGGAUACCAUUUAUAUACCAGGAGAAAUUUUAUUACAACUGUCGCCGGUGUUAACAUUACAAAUAGAAAUGGUGCUUCACAAACCUGUAGAUCUGGCUAAGAUUUCCAGGCAAAAUGUUAAAAGUGUAGGAUGGCUCCUUUAAGCUUCCUGUACUUUGAUAAAAUACAAGAAGGAAGGAAUGAACUAAAUAAACAACGAUUUGAGCAGAAUUUGGAGGAAAAAUAGAGGGUACAGGAAAGUCUUCAAGGUAGCAAAUGUUCUUCAAGUAAGAAAUGGCCUUAAGGCAAAGAUCAAAUCUAGGGUGCUAUCAAUAAAACAUAGCUUCAGUGUGAAAUUCAGAACAAAGGUGCAAGAUCUUUUGCAAAGGCAAAAAGAUUUGAUUUGGUGCCUAAGUGACCCUCAGGCCAGACAAAAAUACUUCUAAAUAUCUUAAGGGCAUGAUUUGUAGACCCCCAGCAAUAGAGCUUCCAAGCAUAUUAAGGUUGUUAAAGCAACUUUGAUGCUGGUGUAUAACUAGUAAACUAGGAAAGAUAAAUAAUAAUGCUAACAAUCCCAUCUGAAUGUGGCUUCACGAAACAUAUUGUUGACAAUGCUGUGAAAUUGUUUCAGGCUUUCUAGAAAGUAGUCUGGCGAUAGGUAAAAAAUGUUUGUGUCUUUUUUCCAAAUAGUUUAUCUUUAGGAAUAUUGACCUAAGGAAAUGACCCCAAAGAGAUAAUUUUUAAAAAGCCAUUCAUCUAAACAAGCCUUCAUGGUCACAUUAUUUAUAAGAGAAAGAAACUGGAAACAAUCCAAAUGUCCAAAAAUAGAGAUUUGGAUGUACAAACUGUGGCAUAUUUACAUGACGGACUGCUCUAUAAUCACUAAAAAAGACAAGUUUAUGGAUUGUGUUGACUCAAGAUUAUGUGGGCUUGAAAUAUCAUUAAUAAAGGAGCAAAGUAGGAAAUGGUAAGUGUAUAGCGACUUCAUUAAAACAAGUACCAUCUAUAUAUUUUUCAUAAAAUAAAGAAAAUGUGUAUGCAA